UUUAAGUUAUUAGUAAAAACAAAACCAUCAUCUUCCUGCCCUUAUCCCACUUAUGAAGGGUCGGCACAACAUGUUUUUCUCUUCCAUUCCUCUCUAUUUUUCGUCACUUCAGUGCUUACUCCUUUCUUUCUCAUAUCCUCACUCACACAAUCCAUCCAUCGCUUUUUCGGUCUGCCAAUCGCUCUUCGUCCUUCGACAUUCAUCCCUAACAUUCUUUUACCGACAUAGCGGUCAUCCCUCCUCAUUACAUGCCCAUACCACGCUAACCUAUUACUCCUUAUUUUCUCUGUCACAGGUGCUACUUUCAAACUUCCCCUUAUAUACUCAUUUCUAAUCCGAUCUUUCCUCGUUACUCCACACAUCCAUCUUAGCAUUCUCAUCUCGGCUGCGUGCACUCUUCUUUCAUCCGUCACUUUUGUUGCCCAACAUUCUGAUCCAUAUAUUACGACAGGUCUUAUG
Molecule: unclassified non-coding RNA, 459 nt
Filed under: Melitaea cinxia (Glanville fritillary)
Lineage: Eukaryota; Metazoa; Arthropoda; Insecta; Lepidoptera; Nymphalidae
Description: misc RNA ENSMCXG00005007629.1
Source: RNAcentral